RNAcentral lists this small nuclear RNA (21 nucleotides) under Arabidopsis thaliana (thale cress). Its description in RNAcentral is "snRNA_11391". Lineage: Eukaryota; Viridiplantae; Streptophyta; Magnoliopsida; Brassicales; Brassicaceae. The record is from RNAcentral.
GGCGUUCGAAUUGUAGUCUGG